This 253-nucleotide ribosomal RNA is filed under the name uncultured bacterium. Its description in RNAcentral is "partial 16S ribosomal RNA". It matches the Rfam family "Bacterial small subunit ribosomal RNA", at positions 524 to 776 of the family's 1533-position model. The record is from RNAcentral.
CACGGGGGGAGCAAGCGUUGUUCGGAAUCACUGGGCGUAAAGGGCGUGUAGGCGGUCAAGUAAGUGGAAUGUGAAAGCCCCCGGCUUACCCGGGGAUCUGCAUCCCAAACUGCUUGGCUUGAGUACGGGAGAGGAUAGGGGAAUUCCUGGUGUAGCGGUGAAAUGCGUAGAUAUCAGGAGGAACACCAAUGGCGAAGGCAGCUCGCUGGAACGGUACUGACGCUGAGGCGCGAAAGCGUGGGGAGCGAACAGG